GGCGGCAUGCCUUACACAUGCAAGUCGAACGGCAGCACGGGAGCACUCGUGGUGUCGAGUGGCAAAGGGGUGAGUAAUAUAUCGGAACGUGCCCCUUCCUGUGGGAGAACGCUGCGAAAGCUGUGCUUAUACCGCAUACGAUCUAUGGAUGAAAGCGGGGGAUCGCAACACCUCGGGCGAUUGGAGCGGCCGAUAUCAAAUUAGCUAGUUGGUGGUGUAAAAGCCUACCAAGGCGACGAUCUGUAUCUGGUCUGAGAGGACGACCAGCCACACUGGAACUGAGACUGAGUCCAGACUCACUACGGGAGGCAGCAGUGGGGAAUUUUGGACAAUGGGCGCGAGCCUGAUCCAGCAAUGCCGCGUGCAGGAGGAAGGCCUUCGGGUUGUAAACUGCUUUUGUACGGAACGAAACGGUUCUCUCUAAUACAGGGGGCUAAUGACGGUACCGUAACAAUAAGCACCGGCUAACUACGUGCCCGCAGCCGCGGUAAUACGUAAU
This 499-nucleotide ribosomal RNA is filed under the name uncultured bacterium. RNAcentral's name for it is "bacterial SSU rRNA". It matches the Rfam family "Bacterial small subunit ribosomal RNA", at positions 38 to 531 of the family's 1533-position model. The record is from RNAcentral.